GGGGGCGACCGGUUUCGACGUGCCAGUUGAAGCACCGGUUGCGCGCCGAGGACCCCGGUUGGCCUCGUUAAACUUCCGGGAAAAAACACAAAAGCCAACGAACAAUUGGCCCUCGCGGCUUAGUACCGCGACGUUCGGCCGUCUCCGCCUGCGGGACGAAUCCGGAUGUCAUUCAGCAGGCUAGCGACCAAGGCCGGGCUACCGGGCCGAGGAGCGAGAACCAACAGGUGGAUUGCGGUGCCGCUGGCCUGUCCGUGGGCAGGCGGCAUGGCGAAACUUAAUUGCGGACUACGCGCGUAGAUGCCGAUGCGACGCUUGUGCGGACGCGGGUUCGACUCCCGC
Molecule: transfer-messenger RNA, 342 nt
Filed under: Verrucomicrobiota bacterium
Lineage: Bacteria; Pseudomonadati; Verrucomicrobiota
Description: Verrucomicrobia bacterium (hydrocarbon metagenome) partial transfer-messenger RNA
Rfam family: transfer-messenger RNA
About the family: Bacterial tmRNA, also known as 10Sa RNA or SsrA, is named for its dual tRNA and mRNA-like properties. Its role is to liberate the mRNA from a stalled ribosome.
Source: RNAcentral